UCCAACUCUACCCCUAUGUCAGGCUGGGAGGCUCAACAGAAAUUUAUUUUUGCUCAGCCCCAGACCUCGGGGUGCCAGCGUGGUUGGGCUCCAGGGAGGGCCCCCUUCUUGCUUUUCAGAAAGCCACCUUCUCGCCGUGUCCUCACACAGCAGAGAGACAGCAAGUUCUCUGGCGACUCUUCCUAUAAGGACACCAACCCCUUGUGAGGGUCUCAGCUCACCCCAACCAGCUCCCAAGAGCCCAUCUCUGAAGGCCGUCACGCUGGGUAGGGUCUCAGCAGGUGGGUUUGGGGACUUAGGGAUGAAUCGCAACUGCCUUCCUUGGGGCUGUAAAGCUGCAGGAGAAAAAGUAAGCAGCCACACCACAGACCCCCGCUGUAAAGUGUUAACAAUGGCAGCAAGAAGCGAUGUGAUAAUCGUGAUUUGUGAACCGAUGUCAACCCACCACACAUUUAUAAGGUGAAUCCUGAGGUCAUGCGUAUGGGAAGACGGCUCUGUGAAGUCCUAGGUGCUCCAAGGAAGGAGAGGGGGAUCCAGGAGCGGAACCGUGGGGGCGCUGCUCAUCUGCCCUCGCAGCUUGCUUCUCACCCACGGGAUUUGAUACUGUGUAACUUCACAACCAGUAAUGGGCCGAGGUGCCGCCUGCCUGCCUGCGGGACACAGAAGAAGGGCCAGGUAAAGCCUCCCAGGGCCAGGACUUCACUCCACCUGCACUGUUUCCUGGCUCUGAUAAAGAAUGUGUGUCUCAUAAACUGAGCUUGCAUAACACAUCUAAACAGACAGGCCUUCUGUUAAGGAGGUUUUGUUUCCGACUGUAUCAUACCCCUGCCUUUCCUGUACUUUGUUAGGUUGGGUCAUAAAAAAAAAAUUGUACCAAAAAAAAUGUACUAGAAACUAUUGAUUUCUGUUGUGCUAAAGCCCCUGACAUUCUGGCGCGAUGAAGAUAUUGCUGUGGACCCUAUGAGCUUUCUCAGACUUCUCUUCUGCUUAUGAGGGUCUCUGCGGAUGGUAUUAAAGAUAUUGUAGUUCCCACUUUCUGACUGUGGGAUAUCAGCAGGGUCUCUCCUGUGUAAAGAAUAAUUAUCAGCACUGCUGUUACCUCUAGUAAGUGUGUAAUUACAUGCUCGGUUUUGUGGGCUGUAGGCUGUGCAGUUUUAAAUUAUACAAUAAUGUCAAAUUCUCUCCCGCUCUCUCACACUCUCUGGCUCUCUCUCCCUUUCUAUCUCUCUCUAGCUUUUUUUGUAUUUGAAAGGGGAGGUGGGUAAUAUCUAUUUUUUUAGGAGAUAGAAGGAGAGAGUGUGAGAGCGUUUCCACCCACAUAGCGUGGUACCCAGGGAAGGUCAAACACUGUUGCCUGUGUGCUAGGAUUUCAACCCACAGGACCUUUAAAAAUCAGGGCGGAAGAGAUGACGAAGGGUGGGGGGAGUAAGGAAGGACAGGGAGGAGGUGAGUGUGGGAGUGUGGGAGUGUGGGUGAAAGCAGAGUGGGUGUGGUAGAGUCCAGUAAAAAAGCAGGUGGGAAGCAUUGUGAAGGCGCUGAUUCCCAGCCAGAAAUUAAAGUAGCUGGGGGCCGCCUGCAAUGAGCUCUCCACUAAGAACAUGCCUGCGCCUGCUUCGGGGCAAACAGCCCACCACCAGAGGGUCCCACACCUGUCUGUACUUGGCCAGUCAGGGCUCCUGGACAGGUGUGAUCUUCCUGCUGACCAUAGCUUUGCACAACUCACCCCACCCCCACCCCACGGGGAUUCACAGGAUUAAGUGAUGGUAACACUCGUGUCCACCUCAAGCCCUACAACCACCCAGAGUCCUCUUGAACUCAGAUCUGACUGAAAAGACUGCAUGUUUCAUUCCUCUGCUUUAAGGCUUUCCACAAAAUACAUCAGUAAAUGUGUGGAGUUGAUGCUUUAAAAUGAGUUCGUGGCCUGUGGUGAACAUUUGUCUUUUGCUUCGUCCUACUCUCUUCCAUCCCACAAAAUGCAGUUCAC
Molecule: long non-coding RNA, 1984 nt
Filed under: Chinchilla lanigera (long-tailed chinchilla)
Lineage: Eukaryota; Metazoa; Chordata; Mammalia; Rodentia; Chinchillidae
Description: lncRNA (ENSCLAG00000027682.1)
Source: RNAcentral